Molecule: ribosomal RNA, 885 nt
Filed under: uncultured Microbacterium sp.
Lineage: Bacteria; Bacillati; Actinomycetota; Actinomycetes; Micrococcales; Microbacteriaceae
Description: bacterial SSU rRNA
Rfam family: Bacterial small subunit ribosomal RNA
Source: RNAcentral
AGUGGGUACGAGCAGACUAGAGUGCGGUAGGGGAGAUUGGAAUUCCUGGUGUAGCGGUGGAAUGCGCAGAUAUCAGGAGGAACACCGAUGGCGAAGGCAGAUCUCUGGGCCGUAACUGACGCUGAGGAGCGAAAGGGUGGGGAGCAAACAGGCUUAGAUACCUGGUAGUCCACCCCGUAAACGUUGGGAACUAGUUGUGGGGUCCUUCCAGGAUUCCGUGACGCAGCUAACGCAUUAAGUUCCCCGCCUGGGGAGUACGGCCGCAAGGCUAAAACUCAAAGGAAUUGACGGGGACCCGCACAAGCGGCGGAGCAUGCGGAUUAAUUCGAUGCAACGCGAAGAACCUUACCAAGGCUUGACAUAACGAGAACGGGCCAGAAAUGGUCAACUCUUUGGACACUCGUAAACAGGUGGUGCAUGGUUGUCGUCAGCUCGUGUCGUGAGAUGUUGGGUUAAGUCCCGCAACGAGCGCAACCCUCGUUCUAUGUUGCCAGCACGUAAUGGUGGGAACUCAUGGGAUACUGCCGGGGUCAACUCGGAGGAAGGUGGGGAUGACGUCAAAUCAUCAUGCCCCUUAUGUCUUGGGCUUCACGCAUGCUACAAUGGCCGGUACAAAGGGCUGCAAUACCGCGAGGUGGAGCGAAUCCCAAAAAGCCGGUCCCAGUUCGGAUUGAGGUCUGCAACUCGACCUCAUGAAGUCGGAGUCGCUAGUAAUCGCAGAUCAGCACGCUGCGGUGAAUACGUUCCCGGGUCUUGUACACACCGCCCGUCAAGUCAUGAAAGUCGGUAACACCUGAAGCCGGUGGCCUAACCCUUGGGAGGGAGCCGUCGUAGGUGGGAUCGGUAAUUAGGACUAAGUCGUAACAAGGUAACCAAGGGCGAAUC